Molecule: long non-coding RNA, 440 nt
Organism: Dermochelys coriacea (leatherback sea turtle)
Lineage: Eukaryota; Metazoa; Chordata; Testudines; Dermochelyidae
Exons: 3
Source: RefSeq, a predicted model, not a curated record
CUGGAGUUCAGAGGUGUGCUUUCCAGAUAUCAUGACCUUUGAUAUUACCUCAUCAUCACCAGUACGGAUAGAGGAUUAAGUUCUCACCAAUGUAGAAACAUUCACACACUUGGGCAGCAGCAUCAGCCAGGACGGUGGAAUGAGCCAGGACACCCAGAACAAAAUCAAGAAAGCCAGGCUUUUGCAUAUAUAAAGCUAAAUUCUGGGAGGUGAAUGAAAGCUUUGCUGCAUGUGAAAAUGUCACAGGCGGAGAGGUGGACUCCUCAACCCCAGCUGGCCAGGAUAUCUGCAUAGCAGGCCCUGGCUGCAUUCGACCGGAUGUGGGAGGGGAGUAGCUGACAUGGCUCCAAUACAGCCAAUCCCAAGUGGGAUUCUGUGCCUGUGGCUCCCUGGCCUGCCUACAUUCCCCCUUCCUUGUGGGGAGUGAGCUGUGAAGACGU